UAGAUACCCCAUUAAUUCAAGUGAUAAAUUAUGGCUUAUUGUAGAUUGGAUCUAUUUUUAACAUGUGAAGGUUCUUAACCUAAGGAGUACGCUUUCAUAAGUGAAACUUAAAUGUUCUGGUGGUGGUUUAGAACAAUAGUGGAAUAGAUGAUUUAAUUCGAUGUUAUGCGAUAAAGCUUAUCACUUAUCUUUUUUAAUACCUAGGUAUAGGUAGAAUUCUAUUCAAGGUAGUGCAUGGCUGUUGGAAGGUAAUGUUUUGUAAUAUCUGGUUCAGUUCAGGAAUAGCCGAUACACUGAGAGAAAUAAUUAAGUACAUUUAAGUAUUUAAAUGGUGUCUAUUAAAAUAUUAGAUAGAAUAACGUCGAGUCAUUAUGCUCUUUUGUUUGGAGAUAUUCAUCUGUUACAAAGAGAACUAUAUAGCUACUUUUUAAUGAGUAAAUCAAAUGUUAUCAUCCUAAUUGAAAACUGAAAUGUUUUUAUAAAGGAGGAAUUAUUAGGAAUCUUUGGUUAGUUACUUAAAGGUGGACAGGAGAUAAACUUUGCACAUACUGCCCGUCAAACAAAAAGCGGAGAUUAAGAUGAAAACAGAAGAAACUACAAAAUUGUGAAAUUGGGAUACUAAUUUGUGUUAAGUCGAAACAUGGUUGCUC
This 650-nucleotide ribosomal RNA is filed under the name Heterocapsa rotundata. Its description in RNAcentral is "partial Bacterial small subunit ribosomal RNA". It matches the Rfam family "Bacterial small subunit ribosomal RNA", at positions 779 to 1502 of the family's 1533-position model. The record is from RNAcentral. Lineage: Eukaryota; Dinophyceae; Peridiniales; Heterocapsaceae.